RNAcentral lists this unclassified non-coding RNA (294 nucleotides) under uncultured Mycoplasmataceae bacterium. Its description in RNAcentral is "contains 16S-23S intergenic spacer region". Lineage: Bacteria; Bacillati; Mycoplasmatota; Mollicutes; Mycoplasmatales; Mycoplasmataceae. The record is from RNAcentral.
AGGACUACCGGGGUAUCUAAUCCUGUUUGCUACCCACGCUUUCGCACCUCAGCGUCAAUCUUUGUCCAGUAAGCUGCCUUCGCCAUUGGUGUUCCUUCAUAUAUCUACGCAUUCCACCGCUACACAUGAAAUUCCACUUACCUCUCCAAGAUUCUAGUUCAACAGUUUUCAACGCCUUUCAACGGUUGGGCCGUUGUAUUUGACAUCAAACUUAUUGUACCGCCUACGUGCCCUUUACGCCCAAUAAUUCCGGAUAACGCUCGGGACCUACGUAUUACCGCGGCGGCUGGCACU